This 255-nucleotide ribosomal RNA is filed under the name uncultured bacterium. RNAcentral's name for it is "partial 16S ribosomal RNA". It matches the Rfam family "Bacterial small subunit ribosomal RNA", at positions 524 to 777 of the family's 1533-position model. The record is from RNAcentral.
UACAGAGGUGGCAAGCGUUGUUCGGAAUUACUGGGCGUAAAGGGCGCGUAGGCGGCCUUCUAAGUCAGACGUGAAAUCCCCCGGCUUAACCUGGGAACUGCGUCUGAUACUGGAGGGCUUGAGUAUGGGAGAGGGAUGUAGAAUUCCAGGUGUAGCGGUGAAAUGCGUAGAUAUCUGGAGGAAUACCGGUGGCGAAGGCGGCAUCCUGGACCAUUACUGACGCUGAGGCGCGAAAGCUAGGGGGAGCAAACGGGG